AAUGGGCGAAAGCCUGACGGAGCAACGCCGCGUGAGGGAUGAAGGCCUCUGGGCUGUAACCUCUUUUAUCAAGGAAGAAGAUCUGACGGUACUUGAUGAAUAAGCCACGGCUAAUUCCGUGCCAGCAGCCGCGGUAAUACGGGAGUGGCAAGCGUUAUCCGGAAUUAUUGGGCGUAAAGCGUCCGCAGGCGGCCCUUCAAGUCUGCUGUUAAAAAGUGGAGCUUAACUCCAUCAUGGCAGUGGAAACUGUUGGGCUUGAGUGUGGUAGGGGCAGAGGGAAUUCCCGGUGUAGCGGUGAAAUGCGUAGAUAUCGGGAAGAACACCAGUGGCGAAGGCGCUCUGCUGGGCCAUCACUGACGCUCAUGGACGAAAGCCAGGGGAGCGAAAGGGAUU
This 393-nucleotide ribosomal RNA is filed under the name uncultured Gammaproteobacteria bacterium. RNAcentral's name for it is "bacterial SSU rRNA". It matches the Rfam family "Bacterial small subunit ribosomal RNA", at positions 370 to 779 of the family's 1533-position model. Lineage: Bacteria; Pseudomonadati; Pseudomonadota; Gammaproteobacteria. The record is from RNAcentral.